RNAcentral lists this long non-coding RNA (2362 nucleotides) under Malus domestica (apple). Its description in RNAcentral is "long non-coding RNA (MDOM_LNC016441)". The record is from RNAcentral. Lineage: Eukaryota; Viridiplantae; Streptophyta; Magnoliopsida; Rosales; Rosaceae.
AGGUUUCCCCUUUUUUUUAGAAUUUAAUUUUUUUUUCUUUUUUCGAUUUCUAGGGUUUAAAAAAACCCUAAUUGCUUCUAAUUUUUUUUCGAUUCUUUGACUCACAUAUGCCACAUAGCAAAAAUUGCUCUUUAGCUCAGCAUUAAGAGCGUGCUGAUAACGUGUUGUAGGCAUAAUUUAUUGAACAAUUACGAAGGCCAUAGAGAGAGGGGUGCAACAAUAGUAGAGAUAAGAGAGAGAUGUGUAAUUGUGAGGUGUGUUCUAUUCCACCCCAUUGUGCCUUUAUUUAUAGUAGUAGAGAAGGUUAAUUCCUUACCCUUUUAGGAUUACAACUCUAAUAAAAUAAUAUCUAAUCCUAGGGAAUAUCCUAAGAUACCCCUAGAUACACUAGGAUUUACACAAUCGCAUUGGUAAUCUAAUAGGACUGCAACAUUUCUUUAAUUUUUUUUUUCAAUCUAGUCAUAAACUUACAACAAACAAAAUUAAUUAAUCCCACAAUUAACCAAAAAAUAUUUAACAAAUAAAAAAAAUAACAUUAAAUCAAUUAGUUGAGAGAGAGGGGAGAUAUGGGUGAUGAAGUGGGUGAGAGAGAGAGAGAGAGAGUUUUGCAUGAGGAGAGAGCAGCACGGCUCUGGGGAGGAAGAAUAAAAGAAAGGAGAAGGAGAAAGAGAAGGCACAUACCUUUUUAAUGAAUAUGGUUUUAUCCAACAAAAUGAUUUGUUGGGCAAAACUAAGAACGCGUCGAGUAAACAAAGUGUCAGAGGUUUUGACAAGUCAUUGUGGAGCUUUGCCCAAUGGUUAACAUAUGUGGCCCAAUGAAAUGGUUCAGCGGGCAAAGUUCCUUAAGCCGACGAGCUAAAAUUUCAUCGGGCCAAUGCUAACACAAUACGAUCCAAUAUUUCCCCUCUGAGCCAAUACAUUGCCUGGCGAAUAAUAAUUUGCCUUGCAAAAUUCUGCGGUAGUGCAGAGCCUUUGAUAACACUCGAAAUGUUGACCAGAUUUACCCGAUCACUUUUUUUUAAUCAUUUGGUAAAGUUUCUUGACCCGAUGGAAAAUGGUUCGUCCAACAAAUAUUCGUCAAGUAUAUGUCACCAACUUGAGGGAGUGAGGAGUAAGAGGGAAGAUUUAUUCUUAAUAUAAAAAAACUUUAUAAAGAAAUACAUGGUUGGAUUGGACCCAUGUGAUAAGUUCGUUGGUUUUUUCUUGCUUGCACAUAUUCAAGCCGAAGUUUGAACCUACCCACUAGGGUUGGGUUCGGUUUGAAACGGUUCGGUUUUUUGACAAAACCGAAACCGAAACCAAACCGAAAUUUCGGUUCGGUUCGGUUCGGUUCAAUAUUUUUUCUGUUUUUUUCGGUUCGAUUUUUUUCAGUUUCGGUUUUUUUCGGUUCGGUUUCGACCAGGUUCGGUUUUUUACUAUGAUUAUUUUUUUUUUGGUAAAUCUAGAUAUUGGUACUGAUCAAACCACUAUCUUCAUCUACAAAUCACAACAACAAUUAUAUUCAUUUAGGGUUUGCAGGAUUUGUGGGCUGCUAUUGAUGCAGCAAAAUACAAAGAGGGAAAAACUAAUUUUUUUUGGUCAAAACAUGAAUCUUUUAUCCAACACAAUAAAAAUAAAAUAAAAAAACUUGGAUUGAAUCAGAUGGAAAGAAAGAAACACAGAUACAUAAUCUGCAUCCCUACGCAUGAUCUGCAACCCAUACUUUCUUUGCCCUCUGUCCGUCUAUUGAAUCAAAAACCAAUACAUAAUCUGCAGCACUGAGCACACACCUAUAUGCAUCUCCACCCAUUUUUUCUCCAUAACUGAAAUGAAAACUUUAUGACAUCUUCACGAAUAGCACAAAAUCUAAAUAUUGAAUCGCAUACACUAACAGCAAAUCAAUAACCCAAAAUCCCUAAAUCUAGAAAACCCUAAGUUACUCUUCCUAAAUCCCUAAAAUUGAAUACCUUUUGAUUGAGAGAGAAUAGGGGAUGCCCCAGGGUCAGAACGCUCGUAACCAUGGGGAUGGGUGCUGGAGCCAAAGGGAGGACUGAUAGAGAAGAAGGGUUGUCGCAGGGUUACCACGCUCGCAACCAUGGGGAUUGGUGUGCUGGAGGCAGAAGGAGGACUGAGAGAGAAGAAGGGUUGCUGCAGGGUUUGCACACUCGCAACCAUGGGGAUGGGUGUGUUAGAGGCAGAGGGAGGACUGAGAGAGAAGAAGGGUUGCUGCAGGGUUUGCACACUCGUAGCCAUGGGGAUCGGUGCUGGAGCCAGAGGGAAGACUGAGAGAGAAGAGGGGACAAGAGAGAGAAGAGGGAGAAAUUGGAGGCAUGGAGGAAGUCUGGAGGUGUGGCUGCGCUAGGGAACGAGAGAGAGAGAUGAG